AUACAGAGGGGGCGAGCGUUGUUCGGAAUUACUGGGCGUAAAGGGCGCGUAGGUGGCCUGCUAUGUCGAACGUGAAAUCCCUGGGCUCAACCCAGGAACUGCGUCCGAAACUGGCAGGCUCGAAUCCGGGAGAGGGAUGUGGAAUUCCAGGUGUAGCGGUGAAAUGCGUAGAUAUCUGGAGGAACACCGGUGGCGAAGGCGGCAUCCUGGACCGGUAUUGACGCUGAGGCGCGAAAGCCAGGGGAGCAAACGGGAUUAGAUACCCCGGUAGUCCUGGCCCUAAACGAUGAAUGCUUGGUGUGGCGGGUAUCGAUCCCUGCCGUGCCGAAGCUAACGCAUUAAGCAUUCCGCCUGGGGAGUACGGUCGCAAGGCUGAAACUCAAAUGAAUUGGCGGGG
RNAcentral lists this ribosomal RNA (397 nucleotides) under uncultured bacterium. RNAcentral's name for it is "partial 16S ribosomal RNA". It matches the Rfam family "Bacterial small subunit ribosomal RNA", at positions 523 to 918 of the family's 1533-position model. The record is from RNAcentral.